Molecule: ribosomal RNA, 335 nt
Filed under: uncultured bacterium
Lineage: Bacteria
Description: partial 16S ribosomal RNA
Rfam family: Bacterial small subunit ribosomal RNA
Source: RNAcentral
GCUACGGGGGGCAGCAGUGGGGAAUAUUGGACAAUGGGGGAAACCCUGAUCCAGCGACGCCGCGUGAGUGAAGAAGGAUUUCGGUACGUAAAGCUCUAUCAGCAGGAAAGAAAAUGACGGUACCUGACUAAGAAGCCCCGGCUAACUACGUGCCAGCAGCCGCGGUAAUACGUAGGGGGCAAGCGUUAUCCGGAUUGACUGGGGGUAGAGGGAGCGUAGCCGGCAGGGCAAGGCUGCGGGGAAAUGCCGGGGCCCAACCCCGGAACUGCUCUGGAAACUGUGAAGCUGGAGUGCAGGAGAGGUAAGCGGAAUUCCUGGUGUAGCGGUGAAAUGCG